This 1420-nucleotide small RNA is filed under the name Oryza sativa Japonica Group (Japanese rice). Its description in RNAcentral is "misc RNA Os12g0236700". Lineage: Eukaryota; Viridiplantae; Streptophyta; Magnoliopsida; Poales; Poaceae. The record is from RNAcentral.
UAAGCAAGGGAGCGGUGACUGGACCUACAUAUAACCAACAUGUUCCUUUUUUGAUGAGCAUUAAGGUGGAGUUCACCUUUUGGACAACUAGCUUGGAGUGUUAUAGAGAAUAUGGCAUUCAUGUAUUCAUUUGUGUUAUUAGGAGUAGGUUUCUGGAAUCAAAUACAUAUCUAAAUAUGUGUCAAUUAUAGCUUGUUGGUUAAGCAUCCAUAGUGGUAUGACGUGUUAUUGUCGUCCUAAAUUCCUAAUGCUAUUUAAAUCAGUCAAUGUCUCUUAUAAACUGUUCACUUAUUUAUAAGUUACCUCCUAAAAGAUCUGUGACAGGUGAUCAAUCGAAAAAAAUAUUUCCAUGAUUUGUUAGGAUUUAGAAAAAUGAGUUGUGAUUAAUCUGCAUAUAUCCGGACAAUUGUAUUUUGUUGAUUUAGAUAUAUGGACAGAAGUAUAUUUCUCCUGCACCUGUGUAAACUUUGGGGUCAACAUCCAAUCCUACACUUGUACCUUUGCAUUCUUUAGCUGUUUACACAGGUCUCCUCCCCAAAGACCACCACGGGACUUGAGCUGCCUUCUGGUGGUCAUGUAAGCUGUCGAUACUGCACACCAAGUGGUAAGCUGUCUAGCGCUUCUGUAUUCAUUGAGAUGGAGAUGUCGUAUAUGGUGAAUCCACAAACUGGGUAUGUUAACAAGCUUAAGGAACGGGCAAAGAUUUCUACACCAAGAUUCUCAUAUUUACCCCAGAGCGGGAUUUUACAUGGAUGAGGCUCAUUGCUGAUAAGUGCGGUGCGGUGCUGUGUUGUGCUCAUGUGCGACCCGGCGCACAUCAGCAGGCUUGUCACCACGAUGGUAUCAUAUUCAAACUGAGUUUGAACUUAGUUUAUCAAAGAUCAUUCUGAUUUUCAGAAUAACAAAGGUAACAUUUUGAGGAAUGCCGUAGUCUCUUUAACCACUGCGAUGUGGUUACAUCAACUAACAAGAAUCUAACAGGUCCUAGAGGUGGUACAAUAUUUUUCAGGAGAGGAAAAAAUUAAGGAAGAGGACUGUUCUUUUUUCUCAAGGGGAUGAAAAUGAAUUGUGACUUUCAGGACAGGAUAAAUUUUGUUGUUUUCCAUUCAAAACAACUAUGCCAGGACGGGAGGUCCCCAUGGUAUAUAUUGCUUCCUUGGUGAUAACUCUGAAGCAAGUUGCAACACCUGAAUAUAAAGCAUAGAUUCAACAAGUUAAGAAAAAUGCAAAAGUUUUGGCAACAGCUUUGCUUAGAAGAAAAUGCAGAAUUGUUACUAUUUUAGAUGAUGGAAAAUGAUUAGUACAUGCCGACUGCUGGGCGAUGGCACAGAUAACCACUACUUUGGGAUUUAAGAACUUCAGGCCUAACCGGUAUAAUUGUGCCUACCAUUUUCUUAAUUAAUUUAUUUUUUAAUCCGUG